This 1339-nucleotide ribosomal RNA is filed under the name uncultured cyanobacterium. Its description in RNAcentral is "bacterial SSU rRNA". It matches the Rfam family "Bacterial small subunit ribosomal RNA". Lineage: Bacteria; Bacillati; Cyanobacteriota. The record is from RNAcentral.
AGUCGAACGGAGGUAGAAAUACCUCAGUGGCGGACGGGUGAGUAACACGUGAGAAUCUAGCUUCAGGUCGGGGAUAACAGAGGGAAACCGCUGCUAAUACCGAAUGUGCGAGAGGUGAAAGACAAGUUGCCUGAGGAUGAGCUCGCGGCGGAUUAGCUAGUUGGUGGGGUAAAAGCCUACCAAGGCGACGAUCCGCAGCUGGUCUGAGAGGACGAGCAGCCACACUGGGACUGAGACAAGGCCCAGACUCCUACGGGAGGCAGCAGUGGGGAAUUUUCCGCAAUGGGCGAAAGCCUGACGGAGCAAGACCGCGUGAGGGAGGAAGGCUCUUGGGUUGUAAACCUCUUUUCUUUGGGAAGAAGAAAGUGACGGUACCAAAGGAAUCAGCAUCGGCUAACUCCGUGCCAGCAGCCGCGGUAAUACGGAGGAUGCAAGCGUUAUCCGGAAUCAUUGGGCGUAAAGCGUCCGCAGGUGGUGGGGCAAGUCGGCUGUCAAUGGUCACAGCUUAACUGUGAACAGGCGGUGGAAACUGCCAAACUAGAGUGCGGUAGGGGUAGAGGGAAUUCCCGGUGUAGCGGUGAAAUGCGUAGAGAUCGGGAAGAACACCAGUAGCGAAAGCGCUCUGCUGGGCCUGCACUGACACUGAGGGACGAAAGCUAGGGGAGCGAAUGGGAUUAGAUACCCCAGUAGUCCUAGCCGUAAACGAUGGAGACUAGGCGAGGCGCGUAUCGACCCGUGCCGUGCCGGAGCUAACGCGUUAAGUCUCCCGCCUGGGGAAUACGCACGCAAGUGUGAAACUCAAAGGAAUUGACGGGGGCCCGCACAAGCGGUGGAGUAUGUGGUUUAAUUCGAUGCAACGCGAAAAACCUUACCAGGGCUUGACAUGUCCGGAACCUCUGGGAAACUAGAGGGUGCCUAAGGGAGCCGGAACACAGGUGGUGCAUGGCUGUCGUCAGCUCGUGUCGUGAGAUGUUGGGUUAAGUCCCGCAACGAGCGCAACCCUCGUUCUUAGUUGCCAUCAUUAAGUUGGGAACUCUAAGAAGACUGCCGGUGACAAACCGGAGGAAGGUGGGGAUGACGUCAAGUCAGCAUGCCCCUUACGUCCUGGGCGACACACGUACUACAAUGCUUCGGACAAAGGGCAGCCAAGCCGCAAGGCAGAGCAAAUCCCAUAAACCGAGGCCAAGUUCAGAUCACUCUCUGCAACUCGAGAGCGUGAAGGCGGAAUCGCUAGUAAUCGCCGGUCAGCAUACGGCGGUGAAUACGUUCCCGGGCCUUGUACACACCGCCCGUCACACCAUGGGAGUUGGCCACGCCCGAAGUCGUUACUCCAACCAUU